ACGGCGUACCUUUUGUAUAAUGGGUCAGCGAGUUAUUGUCUGUAGCAAGGUUAACCGUUUAGGGGAGCCGUAGGGAAACCGAGUCUUAAUAGGGCGUCAUAGUUGCAGGCAAUAGACCCGAAACCGGACGAUCUAGCCAUGGCCAGGUUGAAGGUGCCGUAACAGGCACUGGAGGACCGAACCCACUUAUGUUGAAAAAUGAGGGGAUGAGCUGUGGCUCGGAGUGAAAGGCUAAUCAAGUCCGGAGAUAGCUGGUUCUCCGCGAAAACUAUUUAGGUAGUGCCUCGUGAGUUAACUGCUGGGGGUAAAGCACUGUGUCGGCUAGGGGGUCAUCCCGACUUACCAACCCGAUGCAAACUCCGAAUACCUGUGAGUACUAUCCGGGAGACACACGGUGGGUGCUAACGUCCAUCGUGAAGAGGGAAACAACCCAGACCGCCAGCUAAGGUCCCCAAAUACCAGUUAAGUGGGAAACGAUGUGGGAAGGCUCAGAC
Molecule: ribosomal RNA, 494 nt
Filed under: Lotharella globosa
Lineage: Eukaryota; Cercozoa; Chlorarachniophyceae
Description: partial Bacterial large subunit ribosomal RNA
Rfam family: Bacterial large subunit ribosomal RNA
Source: RNAcentral